UACAGAGGUCCCGAGCGUUGUUCGGAUUCACUGGGCGUAAAGGGUGCGUAGGUGGCGAGGAAAGUCGGAUGUGAAAGCUCGGAGCUCAACUCCGAAAUGGCAUUGGAAACUACCUUGCUCGAGGGUUGGAGGGGGGGACUGAAUUCUCGGUGUAGCAGUGAAAUGCGUAGAUAUCGAGAGGAACACCAGUGGCGAAGGCGAGUCCCUGGACAACUCCUGACACUGAGGCACGAAAGCUAGGGGAGCAAACAGG
Molecule: ribosomal RNA, 253 nt
Filed under: uncultured bacterium
Lineage: Bacteria
Description: partial 16S ribosomal RNA
Rfam family: Bacterial small subunit ribosomal RNA
Source: RNAcentral